RNAcentral lists this long non-coding RNA (2472 nucleotides) under Homo sapiens (human). RNAcentral's name for it is "HSALNT0353426". The record is from RNAcentral. Lineage: Eukaryota; Metazoa; Chordata; Mammalia; Primates; Hominidae.
AGUCCAGGAACCGCUUUUGCAUAACCUCAGUAGAUAAAGCAUGCUGAGGUCAUGUCAGAUCAUUUCAAGCUCUUCUGUGUCGAGCUGAGGAGCUGCUCUGUGCCCGGCUUACAGAACUGGAAGGGGGAGCCACCUUCCGCCUGAUGGAGGCUGGAGAACGGAUGGAACCUGGAUCCCUGGAGCCUGGGACACUACCUCGCUGCGGUUGGUGGUGGCCACAGACCAGUAGGAGGGCGGCUGGCAGCGGGAGCUUCUUCUGCCGGGCUGGAGGACUAGGAGAAGGGAGAGGGAACGCCACAUGCUGGAGGCUGGAGCCUGUGCCACCGUGGCUCACCUCGAUGUGGUUGGUGGCAGCUCGCCUUGCUGUGGUUGGUGGUGACGUCGGAGACUGCAGCUCGGCCACAGUGGUAGAAAUGUGUUGGGAUGGAGCCGGACUGUGUAGAACAAAUAAUUACAGAAACAAAGAAAACUUUUGCUGUGUUGGGCACUUGCUCCCAUCUGCUUGCUUCUCUAGAAUCCACUGCCCUAGAAUGAGUAAUUUUUCUUAGAAGCAGAGUUGGAACCACUGAGGAAGCACAGGUGAGCCCUCCCCAGCACACACUCGCUAGUCCCCAACAGAAGAACUGUUGCUGCAUCCAUUGAGGUACCAAGAAACUAGCAAAGGGCCUUCUGGCUGUCUGGGGACAGUCCUCAUGUGGUCCCUGGCUCAGCCUCAAGGGUUCUGGAUUAAUUUGUCUGCAGCCUCUGUGCUGUGUCUCUAGAUCGGGGCUCUGUGGGAAGGGCCCUGGGAGACCCAGCAGCACAGGGUGUCUCGUCUGCCAAAUGUCCCUCCCUUCUCCCACUCUGACACUCAGGAAUAGGGUAGAUGGCAUGUCCAGGCAGUGCCAGGCCACCUCAUUGUCUCCUUUGAGAUGGGCCCAGAGGGCCUUGGGGGGCGAGUGUGAAGCUGGGUACCUGGAGCCUGAGGCUGACUGUCCCUUCCUAUGUCUUGGAGGAGAGGCCUUGGGGCCCAAGAAACCCCCCCGGGCCUGAUCUCUGGGCACACAUGCAGGGAGGGAGGGUCUGUGGGCUGAUUGGGGCAUUGUAAUGAGACGUUGAGCACCACUGCACAGGGGCCUCGUCAGUGGAUCAUGGUCAGAGAUGACCUAGCCAUCAGGACCUGGUCAGUUGGGACCAGAUCAGCAGGGACCUGGCUAGGGGGUGGCCUCCUCAGUGAAGGCCUCACCAGUAGGGAUCUGGUGACCUAGUCAUUGGAAGCCUAGUCAGUGGGGACCUGGUCAGUGGUGGCCUUAUUAGUGGGGCCUGAUCGGUUGGAACAUAAACAAUAAAAAACUGGCCGGUGGGGUCUAUUCAGUAUAUUAGGGGUCUGGUCAGUGUGGGGCCUUAGUGGCUCGGAGCCUGGUCAGUGAGGGCCUGGUCAGAGGGGGCUCGGUCAGCUGGGGACUGAUCCAUGGAGAAUUGUUCAGUGGGGGUGAGGUGAGGGGCAACCUGGUAAAUUGUGGUCUUGUCAGUGGGAACCCAGUCAGUGGGGUCUGGUCCGUGAGGCCUAUUAAUAGGGACCUCUUCCUGGUUAUGGAGACAUGGCCAGUGGGGACUUGGUCAGUGGGACCUGGUCAAUGGAGGAGUGGUCAUUAGGGGCCUUGUCAGUGGGGACCUGGUUUGGGGGGCGCCUGGUCAGUAGGAACCUGGCCAGUUGGCCGCUGUGUGACCUUAGGCAGGGGGUUUGUGGAGCCUCCUUGCUUCCAUGUGUAGGAAGGUGAGUCAGGGCACCCUGGAGCGUUGCUGGAAAGAGAAUGUGAGAAGAUGUGUUGAAUUCAGCACUGCUUGGCAGACCUCCAACUUUACACACAACCUGGGUUCCACCUAGAGAGGGUACCAGCCCGCUCUACUCUGCUCGGCGCCCCUCCUCUGUCUGCAUCCCCAGUACCACACUCGGUGGGGAGGGCAGAGAUUGGGGAGCACCUGUGGAUUCUCUAAUCCUGGUCCUGGGGCCCUGGUGGUGAUAGUGAUGAGGACCUGGGUGCACCUGUGAGUGGAGCAGCUAGGCCAGGCCAGAGAAGCAAGACAAAUACACCCAUAUGCACAUAGACACAUGCAUGCAUAAACACAUUGCAUGCACACAUGUGAGUUCAGGGGAUAGAGGACACUGAUUCUGGGCCCUCUUGACCCAAGCAGGCUCCCGUUGUGGUGUGUUGUGUCACCCCACGAUGUCACUGUUGCUGAGCCCCCAUUGCCUAUGCGUUGUGGAGCAGUUAGAGACACACAGCAGUGUCUGUGAGUGGCUCUGCAUGAAGGGCCAUUUUCUAGGUGAGAGGCACAUCUCAGCACAGCUCACUGAUCAGACUUAGGUGAGUGGAACCUGCUCUCUUCUCUUCCUCCUGGCUUAGGGACAGUCGCUAUCAGGUGGAUGGUUUUGGCCUCUGGGCAGCUACUGAGGGUAAACCCUGAGCACUCACCAGGUGCCUGUUCUGU